CCUACGGGAGGCAGCAGUGAGGAAUAUUGGUCAAUGGGCGGAAGCCUGAACCAGCCAAGUCGCGUGAUGGAUUAAGGCCCUAUGGGUCGUAAACCCCUUUUGUCAGGGAGCAAUGGCGUCCACGUGUGGGCGUAUGGAGAGUACCUGAAGUAAAAGCAUCGGCUAACUGCGCGCCAGCAGCCGCGGUAAUACGGAGGAUGCGAGCGUUAUCCGGAUUUAUUGGGUUUAAAGGGUGCGUAGGGGGGAGCUUAAGUCAGCGGAAAAGUUGCGGUGCAAAACGCUGUAGAGCCGUUGAUACUGGGGUUCUUGAAUGAGGAGGAAGUAUGAGGAAUGCGGGGUGUAGCGGUGAAAUGCAUAGAUAUCACACAGAACACCGAUUGCGAAGGCAGCAUACCGGCGCUCGACUGACGCUGAGGCACGAAAGUGCGGGUAUCGAACAGGAUUAGAUACCCGUGUAGUC
This 460-nucleotide ribosomal RNA is filed under the name uncultured bacterium. Its description in RNAcentral is "partial 16S ribosomal RNA". It matches the Rfam family "Bacterial small subunit ribosomal RNA", at positions 338 to 795 of the family's 1533-position model. The record is from RNAcentral.